GGCAACUUGUCCGAGUGGUUAAGGAGAUGCCCUGCUAAGGCAUUGCGCUUUGCGUGCGCAGGUUCGAACCCUGCAGUUGUCG
Non-coding RNA from Lodderomyces parapsilosis, 82 nucleotides. The record is from the annotation of a RefSeq genome assembly. NCBI's taxonomy places the organism in Eukaryota, Fungi, Ascomycota, Pichiomycetes, Serinales, Debaryomycetaceae.